Molecule: ribosomal RNA, 497 nt
Filed under: uncultured bacterium
Lineage: Bacteria
Description: partial 16S ribosomal RNA
Rfam family: Bacterial small subunit ribosomal RNA
Source: RNAcentral
GAUGAACGCUGGCGGCGUGCCUAAUACAUGCAGGUCGAGCGAACGGACGAGAAGCUUGCUUCUCUGAUGUUAGCGGCGGACGGGUGAGUAACACGUGGAUAACCUACCUAUAAGACUGGGAUAACUUCGGGAAACCGUAGCUAAUACCGGAUAAUAUUUUGAACCGCAUGGUUCAAAAGUGAAAGACGGUCUUGCCGUCACUUAUAGAUGGAUCCGCGCUGCAUUAGCUAGUUGGUAAGGUAACGGCUUACCAAGGCAACGAUGCAUAGCCGACCUGAGAGGGUGAUCGGCCACACUGGAACUGAGACACGGUCCAGACUCCUACGGGAGGCAGCAGUAGGGAAUCUUCCGCAAUGGGCGAAAGCCUGACGGAGCAACGCCGCGUGAGUGAUGAAGGUCUUCGGAUCAUAAAACUCUGUUAUUAGGGAAGAACAUAUGUGUAAGUAACUGUGCACAUCUUGACGGUACCUAAUCAGAAAUCCACGGCUAACUACGUG